Dermacentor silvarum is the source of this 6778-nucleotide long non-coding RNA. RefSeq lists it as uncharacterized. The record is from RefSeq and is a predicted model, not a curated record. Lineage: Eukaryota; Metazoa; Arthropoda; Arachnida; Ixodida; Ixodidae. The transcript has 2 exons.
GGGAGUUGCUUAGUGGCGCAAGUAUAUGUGGUCAUGCAGCUGUUUUUGAUGAUAAUAGAGUUUAGAAUAGGGGCCCCAAAGGUUUUGCAGCCCUGUCAAGUUAAAGCCAGUGCCACUGCACAUGCAGAAGAUGCAAAGAGAGUUUAAUGUUUGGAUCGGCGACGCCACUUUGUGAAAAUAGCGCUUCGAUCCAAACUCGAUGCCAAAGGUUUGUGUCAACAAACAUGGUGGCAUCCGCCGAAGUGAUGGCUCUCGCCUUGUACCAGAUUCGAACCUAGUCUUCGUUAACCUGCAGCCAUCAAAAGCAAUGAACGAUGUCAUAGGCUUUCACUCAUUUCAUGUAGAAAACAAGUUUUAGGCAAGAAAUAAUUGUUAUUUCUUAGAUUGGUAGCCGAACUUGAAGGCCGCCAGGCCUAACACAAACACAUUUUGUUGCUUGGGCGAAACUCAUCUCGUUGCUUGGUCAACUGAGAUUGAAAUCAGAGCUUAAUGUGGCACAAUUUAUUAUAAACACUGUACAUUAGUACUCAGAUUUGUUAUCAUUAAUGAAACACAUAUCGAAAGAGCAAUUAUUUUGCUGUUCUUUUAAUGAAUUUUUGUUGAAGCUUCCGUUUUCGGUCAUCGAGGCACUGCAAGUGCACGACACAAAAAGCGAGCACUAAACCCUAGUCUAAAACUUGUUGCUCUUGCAUGACACAAAGGCCGUGUGCGCAAAGCUCUUUGGGGCCGCAAAGAUAGAGGCCCCUAUUAGAAAACUCUCUAAUAGGAUCUGAAAUAUCAUCUCUGCAUUUUUUGACAUGGUCGGUGACUGCAUUUUAUUGUCUAUCUGUAAUAGGGAGUUUCAGAAACAGCACCCCCAACCAUCUUUGCGUACCCAAAGCCCCAUUACCUGCUUGCGUUCUUUUGUAUACCUUCGUGCAUUCUUUUGUACAUCCGACGGUUUGCAUCCCUAAACUGGCUGCACAAAACCUAGGGCUACCUAAUGAAUUCUAAAUGGUUUUGUAUUUUCCAAGUGAGCAAAGAAAAAAAAAAAAAGCUUAAGUACAUGCUUAGCAAGAAGCCUGUGUAUGCUUACAAAUAUAACAGUAGCUAAUCAGAAAUGAUUGCAUAUAUAAUGCACCAUUAUUAUAGAAAGUCUGUACUAUGCACGAGGUGCAAUACAGUAGAUCUUGAUCCUGCGUAUGAAUCACCAGAGUUCAGGCAUGGAGUCCAAUGCAGUAAAACGUGUAGAAAAUUUAAAAACUUUAAUCCAUUUUGCUGCUUUCUGUUUUUAAUAAUCCUGAAGAUGGAAGAUAUAGAAUAAAAUAAAUCUUUUGGUCAAUGUAAUUGAAUGGUGCCUGAAGACAAUAUGACUUCCAAAUCAAAAGUAGUGCACAUAUAGUUCACAAGUUUUAUGCUUUCAAAUUUUUCUGAGUGUAUUUGUUCUUGUAUUCAUCUGUACGAUGUUAAUCAGCAAUAUUUCAAGUUAAGCCAAAGGUUUCUUAUUUCCACUGAAGACAGACUGCAACCAGCAAAAGCUGUUGUAUUGUAGCUUAACUGGGUCGUCCGACUAGUACACUAUUCAGUAAGCAAAGCUCACAAGGACUAUUGUCAGUUUUCAUGUUGGCCAGCUGAGGAAAAAAAAAAGAAAUCUCUGAAGGUUUUAUAUAUCCUCGAGGGUUCAUGGCUCAACAAGUGAACAAGUCUAUCUCUCUCGCUGUUCCUUCAAACCAAGAUGGUGUUUUUGUUGCUUGUUCAACUAUGCUGAAUGCUCUUGUGUCAUAAUAAUCACUAAGUGUGUGGGACUGUGAAAGAGACAAAAAGCAUGCUUUCAGAGCACUUGUCUCCUCUAUUCUUACAGAGCACAGGUCUCUUCAAGGCAACUAGAUGCAAACAGAUAGGUGAGAAUGUAAUGAUAACACCGCUGCAAAAGCUUGAUGCUGAGGUGGUUAUUGGCUGAGGGAGAACCUAGCCUUGCAUUGGUUGGUCACAGUUCCACUUGACCGCCAUGUUUUGGGGUGUAAUUGAUAGAUCAACUCAUGUUUCAGUGUUACCACAUGAGAGGCAGUCAAAGUAAAAAAAGGGUGGACCACGUGUUGGAAAUCUACGCAUCUUCAUGUCCAUUCUGCCCCAAACCAGUGAGUGAUAUUUGGUGGACAUUAAAUCAAUAUCACGCCACCUGAAUCUGGGUGACAACGCCAUCAGCUUUGUUGCUGUACGUGUGAUGCUCUACAAUGGUGUCGCCAGAUUAUUCAUAGACUUACUGCUGUGAAGGAACAAUGUUUUCAUCUGAAAAAUUUCAGGUGAAAACGUUCGAAUCAGACAGCUCGCUUAUGUUUUUUCUUCUCCCAAGAUUCACCUUGUUCAUGAAAGGCUUAUGCAAACAUUGUUAUAAACAAGAAAAUUUGUUGCACUUUUAUAACUGUUUAAUGAGUCGUUCAUGCUACACUGUGUUGGAAGGUACUGCAGUGCAAAUAUAUUUUACAACUUGCACGCACUUUGACCUUGAAAUGUUAUAGAGCAUCUAAAAAUUGUCGAUUCUCAAGUAACUACACAUAGUACAAAGAUGAAAAAACACCUGUAAUUGCAUGUUGUGUUGCAUCUCCUACAUCACGUCCAACUUGCCAGCAUUGCAAAAGCCUUACAAAGGCAAGCUUUUGCCUUACUUGGGCUGUUAACGGUACACUAAGACAUUUCUUUAAUGCAGGAAAUGUUCCUAGUCUAUGGGCAACACCAGUGAUGACAUUACAUGAAGCAUGAUAGCCCAUAGACGCCAGCCAUUGGGCGCAUGCAUGUAACCCCUCCCAGAUUUUCUAGAAAACGGAGAAGCAGUGGUUGGUAAUUAGUGCAUCCCACCCGUCCUGUCACUACUACUUUAUUAUGCUUGAAUGUCUCUGUCAGACACCAGCAUCAAAGGGUUACCGUAAGUGUGCCACAGCGUGAAAAGAGGGGAAAAGAAAGAAGCAAUAAGCAGGGCAUUGCCAUCAGUGCCACCCCAGCUGUGAGAAAUGGGGAAAGUAAAACAUUGCUCUAAUUGUAUCUCCUUUCAUGCUAGGUCGCUUUAAGGAAUUUCAUUGGGAAACAUAUUUCUCGAAAGGCAUCACAUUCAUUUCAGCGUGUUGCUCAAUUUCAAGAAAAGGUGCUUCAUGCCUCCUUUAAAGACACUGUUUGUUUCUUAUGACUUGACUAUGGGAUGUUAAGUUUAUCACGUCAAAGCUGGCAGUGGUAGUAAUAAUUUUUACUCCUGUGUUAGCUUGGCAGCACAGCAGGACAAAAUUUUCUUUGAAAACAAGGGCUUGCCAUUUGCAGUCAUUGUGAUGAUAUUCAGGUUAUAUGGUCACAUGCCCUGUUCUCCUAGGUCCUCCUGCUGUAAGGCAGAUAGGAUAGGAAGUAAACCAGCCACUGUGGUUGUUCAAUUGUUGAGGGAAUAAUAUUUAGUACCCAUAUAUCUCUAUGAUCUAGCUUGGCUUUGUGGAGAAAGCACAUUGCAGUCAAGGCGUUUAUUCAGAGCAGUCACACAUGUUCACAACCAGUUCAUUCCAUAAUAUUCAGUGAAUAAGUAUAUCACAACAGUAUAUGCUGCUAAAUUAGGAUGACGGCUGGACCACAACAGUCACCAUGGGCGAAAUUGUUUUUGAUGUUCUAAAUAUUUACUUCUCAUUAAUGUUCUGCAAAGAGUCGAACGAUAGCUAUUAGAAGCUAAGUGAUAUUUGUCAUUGGGUUAUAAUGCUUUUGAACAGACAAAUGAGGUUUGAAAGGGUAAUUUUACAAAUCUGCAAGGGCAUUUUAAGCCACAAGGAUGAAGAUUAGAUAAUGCUAUGUGGUGUCCAUCAUUUCUAUAUUGACUUAAUCACCAGUGAUGGAAAAUGCAGACACUUUCACAAGGUUUCCCUCUAGUAAUCUUGGUACAAAGCUCUAUGAUGGACAGUGAGUGAUGUGCGUACAACGUCAUGAAAGAAAGUAUGGAAAAGCAAAGCAGCUCUAAUACCCACCCUGAUAUUGUGUAAAGUCACUCAUGUUAUGUAUAUGUCCUGUGAAUAUCUCACACUGCGAGAUAUUUUAUUGCUGUCAAAUCAUGUGUUUAUACCCGCUGCCGUUGUUUGCUGCCACGGCUUCAGUUCUCGUAGUGCCUGCAGUAAUUCGUCACGUAAUUCAUCACGAUCAAUCAAGCCAACAUGUGACAUGUGGCCACUGUGCAGUAUUGGUAGUAUUGAUGAUGUGAUUAGUGAUUAAUGUCUAGUUUCCAAGUGUUCAGGCUACGGUAGCUACAUUGGCUCAUUGUGUGUCGAUGAAUUGUAGCAUUUCAUUAUAUCUGAGAUGACCAGAUGUUCAAUUUUCCGCCUGCUGCGGUAGCCGAGUGGCUAUGGAAUUGCACUGCUGAAAUUGAGGUCGCGGGUUCGAUACCGGCCGCAGCGGCUGUAUUUCGGUGGCGGCGAAAUGCAAAGACGCCGUGUAACUUAACGUUAAAGAAUCCCAGGUGGUGAAAAUUCAUCCAGCCUCUCCAUCUGCAGCAUUCCUCGUAAUGAGAUUGUGGUUUUGGCAUGUAAAACCGCCGAGAUUUAUUUCAUAUUACUCUUUUUAGGACAGUCAUCCAUGCUUUUACAUUUAUAUCGAGGAGCCCUCAGGUAUUGUCAUGGAAACCUUGCAAUGUGUUUUUUUUUUUUUUUUUCCGUCUUAUACACCAACUUUGCAUACAUUUAACACAGUUACAGAGCAAUUCCAUGCAAAAAGUUUGUCAGCAUUAUUGGCAGCCAACUGUAAAGCCUCUGUAUGUACAUUUAGUUGUUCUACAUUGCCAUGUGUUUUUACAUAUAAAACAACAAUUUUAGUUGUCAUGGCUCCCUUUGUAGUCCAUCACCACUUUAGUUCUGAUGCAUAAUUUGCGUUGGCUCAUCACGAUCAUCUCAUUCAGAGGGUCAGAUUGUGACCACUAAAGUGCAUAUGAGCCAUGUGGUGCAGCUGCAUAAAUAAAAAUGCAAGAACAGAUGGGCAAGCCUACCGAAGCGGACAUAUUGUGUUGUUGCUCAAAAUAUUCAAGAAAUUCAGCAGAAAGUGAAAGUGCUACUAUUAUACGUUUGGCCUUCACGUGGAGCUUCACAGUGAUAAGAAACACAUUGCUGUGAAUCGGCGUUUGAAGGCUUCGAAUUGCCCUGAACCUACACUGUGCUUCAACAGAGAGAGAUGCACGUUAUUGUUUCUGGAACCUUGAUUGUGCCAAGAACUGUGCCAGGUUGCUUUUCCAAAGAAAUUAAUGAUGUGUGCAGCUGUUUUGCGCGGAUCAUUUUCUCCUUUUUUCUCGAGGUCUUGCUUCACUUUGCAGGUCAUAUGUAAUUGGGCAGCCUGUACAUGCAGAAAGAUGGUACAUGCAUAUGACACUGACAAGAGAGUGCUGUACUCAUCUUGGUUCCCGUUACUACUUUUUUCCACGCUGCCAAGGUUGUGCUGCCCGUGGUUGCAGUGGCGCAUAGCUGCCAGCUUUGCUUAAGCUGACAUUUGUGUGGAUUGAGCGAGUGUUCAGUCAUGUGCUUGUUCUACGAUAGUCUGCUGUAUUGAUGUACCACAUCCUCCGUGAUGCUGCAAAACUCAGCACAUUGUGAUACAGAACCUUUCAUGUUAGUGACAGAAGCCCCAUAGAAUCUGCAAGUGGAACCAGAAGUAAACGGAGCCUCAAUUCAAAAUUUGAGUGUGCUGAUGCAUGUUACAGCAAAAUUUAAGAGAUCACUCGUGCUCACACACAAGUGUGUUGGUGCGGAAGUUGUGCAUGAAUACAGAAUUCCUGCUUAGAAAUCUUCACUUACCCUAGGCACUUACCCUAGGCCGUUAAUAAAAUCAUUUGUAAUAAAUUUGUAACAUUUUAGUCACAAUUUAGUGACUGUUUAAAGUAGAUUGCCUAUAUACAACCUAUAAUUUCCAACAAAUAUUUUGCAUAGUUCACCUGCAGAACAAUUUAAGCAUCAUUUUUACAAUUCCGUAAGUUCACAACAAAGAGAGGUAUUAAACUUAACAUAAUCUGUUAAGAGGGUCUAAAAUAAAUUGUUAUACCACACAGGACAUAUAACGUGCUGCUAGUUUGUGAGUAUGACUGGCAGUGACAUAGAAGAGUACAUGUGUCUGCUUUAAAUACCCCAUCAGUAUCAGUUUGCGGAAUUGCAAUAUUGUUUCAUCUCUAGAGUUACAGGGCCAUAGGCAUGGUGCUUCAAUGUUUUCUUUUUUCUAAUUUGCUUUACUUAUUUUACAAAAUAUUUGAUGGUCCAAAUAAAGGAUCUGCCUCUACCGGUCACUAGAAUUUGACUUCCUUCUUUAAAUGCAAAAAAUCUGUCAGAAACGUUUAGCAGUAGCCAGAGAAGACCCACCUUUGCAUUUGAAAUGUGUCUGACUGGGCAAGGUAUGAGCAGAGUUUUUCUCCGAGAAGAUGGGAAGUACCACCUCAGUGCAUUCUACAUUGUAACAUGCCCCGUCUAUAUCUGGCUCCACUUCAGUUUGCACAGCAGUUUUUUGUGUGUGAUGAUUCCAUUCCUCAUAUCACUGCAGGAUUGCAAUGUGAAAAAAAAAAAAAGUUGUGUCACAGUGAACAGUUCCGGAUGCAGUGUUCAGUGUUUAAGGAAUAUUACGCAACAAUUUUGUAAUGCAGCACUCACAAAAGGACCUCUCCCAAUUGAGCAGAAGCACAAGUGUUUUUUACUUGUGUUAUCGCGCACUUUUAUGGCUUUGGGUGGACCUUCCAUGGCAUUGUUGUAGACACGUGUAUUUGAUGUACAAACCACACCAGUGUACAGCCAAUAAACAUUUUGCACCUGUA